This 433-nucleotide ribosomal RNA is filed under the name uncultured bacterium. Its description in RNAcentral is "bacterial SSU rRNA". It matches the Rfam family "Bacterial small subunit ribosomal RNA", at positions 355 to 786 of the family's 1533-position model. The record is from RNAcentral.
UGAGGAAUAUUGGUCAAUGGGAGAGAUCCUGAACCAGCCAAGCCGCGUGAGGGAAGACGGCACUACGUGUUGUAAACCUCUUUGCCGGGGAACAAAAGCGGGGACGCGUCCCCGUCCGCGUGUACCCGGACGAAAAAGCAAUCGGCUAACUCCGUGCCAGCAGCCGCGGUAAUACGGAGGAUGCGAGCGUUAUCCGGAUUUAUUGGGUUUAAAGGGUGCGUAGGCGGUUCCUUAAGUAAGCGGUAAAAUCGCGGGGCUCAACCCCGCCGAGCGUUUAGACUGGGGGACUUGAGACGGCGAGAAGUACGCGGAAUGCGCGGUGUAGCGGUGAAAUGCAUAGAUAUCGCGCAGAACUCCGAUUGCGAAGGCAGCGUACCGGCGCCGUUCUGACGCUGAGGCACGAAAGCGUGGGGAUCGAACAGGAUUAGAUACC